GGAAGGAUCAUCAACAAAUCUCUGGUGUUUUUGGCACCAAUAACCAAUGUGAAUAGCGCCCUUUGGGUGUUUAGGACCAAAUUUUAGUGGGAGACCGCUGAUAGUUGGCCCAAGUAAACUAGACCAGAGUCGGAUAAAAACACGAAUGAAACAACUUUUAACAAUGGAUCUCUUGGUUCUUGCAACGAUGAAGAACGCAGUGAAUUGCGAUAAGUAGUGUGACUUGCAAACUCUGUGAAUCAUCAAAUUUUUGAACGCAUCUUGCACUCUCUGGGUCUACUGGAGAGUAUACCUGUUUGAGUAUCAGAAAGUACUCUACUCUGUGGAGUAGGAGGUGAGGUUUAGCUUUUGGCUAUUCCUUGAAAGGGAGGAAGGUGUAGGCGCUAGCCGGUGCGGUAGGAAUAGGUAGUAUUCUCCCACUCGACACUAGUGACGAGCCUUUAUAUAAAUUUUGGACUAUGAUCUCAAAUCAGGUAGGAUUACCCGCUGAACUUAAGCAUAUCAAUAAGCGGAGGAAAAGAAACUAACAAGGAUUCCCUUAGUAACGGCGAGUGAAGUGGGAAGAGCUCAAAUUUUGAAUCGGGGGGGUUUCCCUUCCGAGUUGUAAACUAUAGAGGCGUUUUCUGUGGCGGCUGUGGUACAAGUUCCCUGGAAAGGGGCAUCAGAGAGGGUGACAAUCCCGUACCUGACCAUCUGCCUGCUGCUUUAUGAUACGUCUUCUACGAGUCGAGUUGUUUGGGAAUGCAGCUCAAAAUGGGUGGUAAAUUUCAUCUAAAGCUAAAUAAUGGCAAGAGACCGAUAGCGAACAAGUACCGUGAGGGAAAGAUGAAAAGCACUUUGAAAAGAGAGUUAAAUAGUACGUGAAAUUGUUAAAAGGGAAGCGAUUGGGAUCAGUAUUUUCCGGUGGAUUCAGCCAAUCUCGGUUGGUGUAUUUUCCAGUGGAAAAGUCAGCAUCAGUUCUGUCUGCCGGAUAGAGCCAGUGGGAAGGUGACUCUCUCGGGAGUUUUUAUAGACCAUUGGCAGAACGGUGGGCCGGGACUGAGGACAGCAGUGUAGCGCAAGCAUUUCCGAAUCUGGCUGUUUCUUUGAGGGGCAUUCCAGGCAACUUUUGACUGGUUUGUACUUUUUGAGUAACGAGUUAGUGAGGUUACAUACACUUAGGAUGCUGACGAAAUGGUCUUAAACGACCCGUCUUGAAACACGGACCAAGGAGUCUAACAUAUAUGCGAGUAUUAGGGUGGCAAACUCUAGUGCGUAAUGAAAGUGACAGAUGGGAGUUUUUAUGCACCAUCGACCGAUCUUGCAGUUUGUUAAUGAAUAGAUUUGAGUAGGAGCAUAUCUGUUGGGACCCGAAAGAUGGUGAACUAUGCCUGAAUAGGGUGAAGCCAGAGGAAACUCUGGUGGAGGCUCGUAGCGGUUCUGACGUGCAAAUCGAUCGUCAAAUUUGGGUAUAGGGGCGAAAGACUAAUCGAACCAUCUAGUAGCUGGUUCCCUC
Molecule: unclassified non-coding RNA, 1495 nt
Filed under: uncultured fungus
Lineage: Eukaryota; Fungi
Description: sequence contains 18S rRNA gene, ITS1, 5.8S rRNA gene, ITS2, 28S rRNA gene
Rfam family: Eukaryotic large subunit ribosomal RNA (bases 460-1495)
Source: RNAcentral